AAUUAUAGGAAAAAGCAAACAUUUGCCUAUAAAAGGGCAUUUAUACUCCGGCAUGAUAUCUGAAACCUUCUGGAGCUAUGUUGGUUGAAUCUGCGAAUGUGGCACUGACCAAAACGAAGGGCCGACUUACUGCCAUGGCACUGUGUUUCCUGAGUGAAAGCCACUUAAAAAUAUCCCUAUCAAACAUCCUUUGCGAAUGGAGGAUUUUUAGAGGGAGGCUACUCAGGGACAGCGCAUCCCUCCCAGGAGCCCAGGCUGUAGUCACCUCCACUGUGAGGCUGAAGACAAAACUGUCACCGAGCUCAGAGGCUGAUUUCUAG
Molecule: long non-coding RNA, 320 nt
Filed under: Callithrix jacchus (white-tufted-ear marmoset)
Lineage: Eukaryota; Metazoa; Chordata; Mammalia; Primates; Cebidae
Description: lncRNA (ENSCJAG00000070025.1)
Source: RNAcentral